UACGAGGGGGGCUAGUGUUGUUCGGAAUCACUGGGCGUAAAGGGAGCGUAGGCGGGAGCUCAAGUUGGGUGUUUAAUUCCGGGGCCCAACCCCGGGCGUGCACUCAAAACUGGGCUUCUUGAAUAGGGGAGAGGUCGAUGGAAUUGGAGGUGUAGCGGUGGAAUGCGUAGAGAUCUCCAAGAACACCGGUUGCGAAGGCGGUCGACUGGACCCAUAUUGACGCUGAGGCUCGAAAGCGUGGGGAGCAAACAGG
Molecule: ribosomal RNA, 253 nt
Filed under: uncultured bacterium
Lineage: Bacteria
Description: partial 16S ribosomal RNA
Rfam family: Bacterial small subunit ribosomal RNA
Source: RNAcentral